This 73-nucleotide transfer RNA is filed under the name Gorilla gorilla gorilla (western lowland gorilla). RNAcentral describes it as "tRNA-Tyr (GTA) (tRNA-Tyr-GTA-5-1)". It matches the Rfam family "tRNA". Rfam says of the family: Transfer RNA (tRNA) molecules are approximately 80 nucleotides in length. Their secondary structure includes four short double-helical elements and three loops (D, anti-codon, and T loops). Further hydrogen bonds mediate the characteristic L-shaped molecular structure. tRNAs have two regions of fundamental functional importance: the anti-codon, which is responsible for specific mRNA codon recognition, and the 3' end, to which the tRNAs corresponding amino acid is attached (by aminoacyl-tRNA synthetases). tRNAs cope with the degeneracy of the genetic code in two manners: having more than one tRNA (with a specific anti-codon) for a particular amino acid; and 'wobble' base-pairing, i.e. permitting non-standard base-pairing at the 3rd anti-codon position. RNAcentral also lists the same sequence under 2 other names. The record is from RNAcentral. Lineage: Eukaryota; Metazoa; Chordata; Mammalia; Primates; Hominidae.
CCUUCGGUAGCUCAGUUGGUAGAGCGGAGGACUGUAGAUCCUUAGGUCGCUGGUUCGAAUCCGGCUCGAAGGA